CACCCCCACCCCCACCCCGCGUACUGUCUCUUUAGCUAAGCGAGGGGUGGUGUUGGUGGAAAGAACCAGGUCAGAAACGCUCGUUUGAAUCAGCAGACCCAUUGCAAUGGCAAUAGCAGCAGCAGCAGCAGCAGCAGCCGUCGCUUGCGAUCGCCGCCUCGCUCACUUCCUUUCAAUGGCCCAAUGGCGCGGGAGAGGCGGCGCUAGAUCUAGCAAUAGAGGUCCGCGCGCGCCAAACAAAAAGUGUCAGCAAUUGCUGUUUUGAAAAUCGGCUUUUUUUUUUUUUUUGUAAAUAAUUCGCAAGCGCUCGUUUCCGCAUUUCGGGAUUCUUGACUCUUCCCGAGCCGGUGCUUUUGUCCGGGAAAGUCUCGGGAAAGCAGCAAAACGAAGGUCUCCUUUUAAGGAUUUACUUUAUCCGAUUUGGGUAAACGACCAUCCCUUGAUGAUCUCUUCCCCCACCUUUCCAGAAAGAAAAAGAGACAGCAAAAGUUCAAGUCUUUCAAAAGUAAACUUGAAGGGUGGGGAAAUGCGAUGCAAAAGACGGUUGCGUCCUCUUGUUUGACAGUGGCGGGAGUGGUUCCCUGGGGAAUCUUUGGAGACCUUUGGAUUGGAGAUCGGCCAAGUCAGCUGAGGUGUGUCUGUUUAUUUUUCCUCCCGUUGGACGUCUGCUUUCCUUGCCUCCUUUAAGGGCGGCUUCAUCGACCUGCUGCGAUGUGACGAGAAAUGUUCCUUUUAUUUGCUCACAACUUCUGAUAGACAAGAGGGCUGAAACGUUUGUAUUAUUCCUAAUACCGGUAGUAAAUACAUUUUAUUUUUAAUCCUCCAUACUUAACUAAUACAUUUCACAAGAUCCACUGGUCCAAGGUUCAUUACUUUAACCCAUUUUGAAGGUAACAACAAAGAUCUUCAACCUCACCACUCAGGAGAAAUAAAACUCUUGGUUCUAUCCAUUGUGACAUUCUUUCUCUAACUUCAAAAUUGCUGCAUCACCCUGCUCAACAAAAAUUAUGCAUCCGGUUUUAACUGGUGACCCAUUCUCAAACAUCCAGGUUGUCCUGUCUGGGAUAUAUGAGGAGAAAAUAAAGAUCAGAGGUGGUGCUUUGCUGCAUGCCAGGAUAACUUUUCAGGGUCAGAUUCCUAUUCCAGAUUCCUGAGAUAGAAACAUUGGUUCUUAAAAUCUACAGCAUGACUGACCCAGAUUUUAAAUUCGAGGCCUAAAUUAUGACACAGGAUUUAUCUGAGAUAUAUUUAGUGCUCCAGCCCUCAAGAUUUGACUAGUCACUUCCAUAGCAAAGGUUUAAGCCUCUUAAUAUCUGCUCUCCUUAAUAUCACAAGAAAUACAAUAUAUUCAAGAAACUGACCCUUCCAAGACAAUAGAAAACUCAGGAGACUCCUGACUGGAAUUUAUAAUAAAAAGCUGGAAAGCAAAAGAAGCAGAGGCGUUUCUGAGGAUGGAAGAGUCCAAGGUCUGCGUCACACAUCAAACCUGAGGCACUCUCAGUGUUAUUGCUAGGACUAUGAUUCUCUACGUCUGUCCUUCUCCUCAUCUUCCGAUGGAUUCCCAGUCGAGGAAAUGACAGCGUAUGGUAUAAUCUUACUCCUAUUUGGCUUUCUAUUCCUACUGUUGUUAUUUUCAGUUUGAAUCAAUCAUAAAUGAUCUUACUGUCCAGCUUUUGCCUCAGUUCUCUCUAGAGAAUAAAAAUAGAAAAAUAAAAAUGCUUUCAUCCAGAAAGCAUUACGAUUUCAAAAAAGAUAGUCUGUUAAUUUAGUUUAAAUUGUCGCCUCAGUUCUCUCUAGAGAAUAAAAAUAGAAAAAUAAAAAUGCUUUCAUCCAGAAAGCAUUACGAUUUCAAAAAAGAUAGUCUGUUAAUUUAGUUUAAAAUGUCGCAGAAAAUGGCAUUCCUGUUUUCCACUGGCAAGUUAUAAUCUAACCUUCCCCAUACCUUGUAGGACAACAAUUCCCAUUUAUUUAUACAUCACAUUAUAGUCUCUGACUUACAAAGUCUGAGCAACAUGUCAGAUUAGAAAGCAAAAAAGAUACUCUAGAACAUAUUGGGGUAUCAAUGUAGCCAAUGUCUAUAACUCCUUAAUUCAAACCAGUCUUAUUUUGGGACUGCACAGCAUCUGCCACGAACAGCUGCGAGAAACCUAGGACAACCAGCAGCUGCUUUCAGGAAUUAAGAGCACUCUUAUUUCCUCAAAGGCACUUCUGUUGCCUUUGAAUACUGAACCUUUUACUGUCAUAUAAUAUUCCAGGAGAAGGUGAACACACUACGUUCCCUUGUAUCUUCCUGGCAAGAAAAAAACCCACACCAUUUUGGCUUAAGCAAUAUAGUAGUGAUAUUGGUGAUGGAGCAAUUGUAGUAAAAAUGGAAAGUUUGAAGUUGCCUAUCCAAUGUAGGUUCUUUUAUUUUGAGGAUCCCAAAUGAGAUUGGGAGUUGUUACUUGUUACUCAUAUUCCACUUACAUAUGGUACUCUCUAGCAGAGGCAUUCUGGCAGAGAAUGGGAGAGUACUCUAAAUUUGAUGCUUACAGCCACCUGCUUCCCAAAGCCACAGACUUGAUAGUGGGCCAGCUAAAGUCCUUACCAUUAAGAAGGGAGUGAGGACAUUUCAGGAGUAGAUUUUAAAAAGUCAGGAUGGAAGUUGUAUAACUGCAUGUCAAAGCCCUGAUUCUUUGUGUGUGUGUGUGUGGAGGGGAGCACAUGUAUGACACAUGUUGUUUUUUUUGACCCUCCUCUGCAAGCUUUCCUGAAAACAGGACUGUGGGAAGCGACUUGGACUCAGCUCCAUGGAGUGCUUUGCACCACAGAGUGGACUGCAUUCUUUUCUGCUUCUGAUAAAAUGGCAGGUCGCACUAUUCUUAGCAAAAGCAUUUUCUUGGCCAUUCAUGCCAGAGGGCUGAAAUCUUGCCAGGCUGUCGGAUCUGUUGGAAAAAGUCUAAAGAGAAACCAAAUGUUGUGGCACAGCUAGAUGUGUACGUGUGUGUGUGUGUAGGUGGGAGCAUUGCGUUCCCAAGCAGGUUUGAAAGGGUGCUUCAUCUGAAGAUCUUUCGGGUCCACUCUUCUCCAAAUAGGAAUAAAUUAUUUAUUUUGAACAAGCAGGACAAAUGAACAUAAAACCAUUGGAACCAUGCAGUACAACGCAAGGGUUGGAAGAGAAUUCUAUGGUGAGUUGCAGUUCCGUUUGGGCGGGAGGAGAGAAGUGGGGAGGAAAUCUGAGGACAUAUACAGUCAAAUUAGCAAGCCAGAAGAGAGAACUCAUAAUUUUUCCAAUUGAUAAAUUCCCUAUAUGCAGUUAAUGUUUUUUUUUUUAUGAGAAUAGCCUGGAAAAAAAAAAAGAAGACCCUACUUUCAGUCGGAAAGAGCAUGUACCUUCUAGUCUUUCCAUGAGGAAAAAAGGGCAUCCAGUAUGACCGUCCCAGGUCUGUCCAAGCUACCAUGGUCUUUAUUGCUGUUAUUUUCAUUACUUUUCAGCAGCAUUCCCUUUUCCAGUCUUUCUACUGCUUCUUCGUGUAUCACAUUGAAACAUUUCAACCAGAUAAUUCUUAACGUCACGUUGCAAUUUGCCCCAAUGGAAUGUUGGAUGAAAAAUGGACAAUCUGCCUAGAUGAGUUCAUGGGGAGGUCUUCAAAUUGCCCAACCAAUUCACAUCACAUGUGUUCCAGCAUCCGGAAUGAAAUGCAUUUCCCCAUUGGCUAAUGAUGUGCUAAUGGGACAACUAAAUCAGAAGAGAAAACCAAUCAGCAUAUCUAUAACAUCUGAAGACCUGCAAAUCUGGCAAUGGAUAUUACAUCAAAGGUAAAACAGAUUAGUGAUGUACACAAGGAUGAGUUAAAGCCUUAUAUGGUUAGUGGGAAACUGACAUGAGAAAAGGCCAAUAAGGAACUUGGACUAUGUUUCUUCUCUCUUGACUGCUGAAGAAAACCAGGGUGUCUAGCUUUGAUACUAAAGUCAUAUCCUGUAAGAGAAAGGGAUAUUUCCAUUGUGGGUUGUCUGACCUGUUUUUUCUCCCUGGUUUUUGUCAGUGGUUAAAACUUCCAGAAAUAAAAAAAGAUUUGCCUCAUUUUA
Molecule: non-coding RNA, 4068 nt
Organism: Pantherophis guttatus
Lineage: Eukaryota; Metazoa; Chordata; Lepidosauria; Squamata; Colubridae
Source: RefSeq, a predicted model, not a curated record